Long non-coding RNA from Apus apus (common swift), 774 nucleotides. RefSeq lists it as uncharacterized. The record is from RefSeq and is a predicted model, not a curated record. The transcript is spliced from 4 exons. NCBI's taxonomy places the organism in Eukaryota, Metazoa, Chordata, Aves, Apodiformes, Apodidae.
GUUGGAGCGAUGGCGGCGGCGGCUCCUCCUGACGCCUCUUCUCUCUCUUUCCCUCCCCAGGUGGGCUCGCGAGCGGCUCCUCGGGGAUCGGCACAUUGGGCAAGGCAGAGAGAAACCCCCAGCUUGCCUGGACCAUCACCACCCAGCAUCACCCACCUUGGGGGCUGGGGAGAAGUGGCCAGAGUGACAGGGAGCUGACAUGGGCAGAGCCCCCACCCCUCAGCACCCUCACCCUGGAAGUCCAAGGAUGGAGCAGCCCCAUGAGGUGCCAUGGAUGGGGUUUUCCUGCCUGGAGGAGCCACCUGGCCAGGAGGAGAAGGUUGCUGUGCCAUGGAUUUGCUGGGACAAAGUUGGACGUGGCUACUGAGGACAGGUCGUGUCCCUCCAAGGGCAGCACCAGGCAUGGGGGGUGAGCUCUGCACCCCCAGGGGUGCCCCAGACCCCUUUGACUCUUCCAGAUGGGGCAGCUGCCCAGAGCGUGGCAAGGGGCUUUGGCAACCACACCCCACGGAUGGGCUGUCAGGACCCCCCACAAGCAACUGACAACAACAGGAACAUGAGUGAUGAAGUGCCACCAUGAGCCCUGGGGACAGUAUGAGGGACAAAAGACCCCAGCACCAAACUCAGCUCUUGGUGACACGAGCAGAUGCUGUGGGGUCCAGGUGACCAAGAAAGGCUGGAAGAAACCCAGGGCUGGGUGUGAAGUGUGGGCAGAAUCCCUGCAAACGCCCUUCCCGUCCCUCCUUCCCCGCACAAGCAGCCAGACGUGCCCAG